RNAcentral lists this ribosomal RNA (301 nucleotides) under uncultured bacterium. RNAcentral's name for it is "partial 16S ribosomal RNA". It matches the Rfam family "Bacterial small subunit ribosomal RNA", at positions 509 to 809 of the family's 1533-position model. The record is from RNAcentral.
CAGUAGCCGCGGUAAUACGUAGGGCGCAAGCGUUAUCCGGAAUUAUUGGGCGUAAAGAGCUCGUAGGCGGUUUGUCGCGUCUGCCGUGAAAGUCCGGGGCUCAACCCCGGAUCUGCGGUGGGUACGGGCAGACUAGAGUGAUGUAGGGGAGACUGGAAUUCCUGGUGUAGCGGUGAAAUGCGCAGAUAUCAGGAGGAACACCGAUGGCGAAGGCAGGCCUCUGGGCAUUAACUGACGCUGAGGAGCGAAAGCAUGGGGAGCGAACAGGAUUAGAUACCCCUGUAGUCCCUGUCUCUUAUAU